GCCAUCCGACUAGCACAGAGGAGGGGCGUUAGAGCCGUAUCAGCCUUGCGCAUGCGCCCUUGUGCUCUGCGGGCUCCGCGGCGCAGCGCUGCACAGGGUUCCGCUAGGGGGCGCUGCGGCGCUGGGAGCGAGGCCUCAGAGCCGCCAUCUUGCGGGCGGCGAUGCUUUGCCCUUGGGCUGCGUUCCCGCGGCUGUGCGGGCCGUGGCCGGGGCCUGGGAUGCGGGCUCUUUGGUGGGAGUUCCCAUUGAGAAUACGGGGAGGAGGCCUAGGUGGGCUGUCCUCCUGCUGGAGGUGAAGCCUCUUGCAGUGUGAGCACCCACACAACGCCCCUGCCAGAUCUUGCCGCAUAAGGGAGCGCAGGGAGCCUUACCGCCGGGUGCGGUGCGUGCAGGAAAAUGGCUUUUGUCUCAGCCCCUCUGUCCUCUGGACAGCUGGCCCUGCUUUAAUGGCUGUCCCCAGCUGAGGAGGUGACCUCCUUCAGCAGGCUGUGUGCAAUUGCAGUUCUUUCCAGAAGAACAAAGCAGCUUUAAUAUUCAUCUGAGUGCUGCUUUGGGAGAUAAAAUCUGAUCGUUUCAAAGCCUAUUUAAAUAACAUAACUGUUUCCUGUUGUUAGAAUCUGCUGCAAGAAUUUAGCCCUUAAUUAAAAUUCUAGUGUGAAUUUCGGCAGCUGGAAAUAGAACAGUGCAAUUAGGAACACUCCAAAUAUAGCACUGACUUUUUUUCACACUACCAUCUCAUCUACAUGGAGUGGGAACGGCCUCAUCUUCUUGCUUGUCUUGAUACUCUGAAAAAUGAGUACUACAGGAUAUAAUUGAUUGGGAGCCAUUGAACGAAUAUAGUUGAUGCCAGAUGUAAGCCAAGCAGCCAGCAGAAGAGAAAGGCUCUAAUAUUCCGUUCUCACUAUCACCACUUCCUCUACUGGAAGCAGAAUUCAAGUCAAUCCACAGAACUGUUAAAGAAGCAAAUCAUCUUUCCCUUGCUUCUGCUGAUAGAAAAGAAGCUAAAUCUGGAAAUAAAUGCAUCGUACAACAUUAGAUUUCUUGUAACAUCCUCACUGAAGAACAGUUACAGCAGAAUUACUGCCAAAUGUGCUUUGUGGUUGUUCACAAAAUCAGAGGGGAUGCUUAAAAGGUUGAGAAGAAUGAUGCUACAGGGGUGUGAGUGUACAGGAAGCUCACUGGGACUGCAUCUAAUUUUUGGGCUUGCAAGUUCUGAUGUCACAGGAGUGUUUUAAAAUGCACUCUGAGCUAAACUGAAGUUGAUAAUAAUAAUAGCAGAGUAACAAAUUCAUUUGGCCCUGCAAACUAGCAAAGUAAGUUUUAGGUUCUGUUUUGUACGUUUUGCAAGCGUACCUUAACACUGUAUAAUGGCUGUGCAUUGCGUAUCUCUGGCCUGAGUUUCAGGCAAGAUUAGUCCAUUUUACGGAGUCCCUGUAGGAUCCAGAAGUAGCACAAAGGUACAAAUCUGCUACACUGGAAAAAAUCAUCUGCUGCAAAAUGCAGAGCCAGAUUCUACCAUUAUUUCUUACACAGUCUCUCAAAGCUGACUUGGAGGCAAUAACAGGCAAACAUGGCUGUGAAGUUCCAAGGGGUCUGCUACUCUGUGGAUUCAGCCUGUACCAGAGUGGAAGUGCAGAAGAUGGAAAGGGAUGUUGAAACUUUGAGCUACAGAAAAGACCACGGAGUCCUGGUGUACAGAGCUCCGCUUCUCAGGAAAUAUUUGUCCUUAGGUAGACAGUGAACACAGCACCAAAUACACAACAACGGAGUGUAAUGCUAAUCUUUUUUUCAUGGUACCAGUUCAAGCUUGGUGAUGCACGACAGAGCUGAAAUCCUAACAUGGAAAUCCCAUAUGGCAUUCAGACUGGCUGUAACAAAUAAUCAUUUCCACUUCAAUAGCAUGCAAGGAACUCAUAGCGCAUUGCGAACGUUAAUUAAUCCUUGCAGUCCAGUUGGGAUGCAGAUGGAUUACAUCCCUCGCCACCAAAGGAAAGAUAGCUCCAGCAUGAACCGCGGCAACUCUAACGUUAUUCAGGAAUUUCUGCCAGGAUGUGUACUGUACUGAAACUACAGGAGAAUUCGAAUGGAUGGAGUGAAGAGAGAAAGAUUUAAAUACAAACUGAAACUCAAAAUUGGCAUUGCAUCCCUCCCAGCGCCAGGCCACGAAACAAAGAUGUUAAACAGCAGGCAACUUACCACCACUGCAACCACCACAUAAUUUCAUACCCCAGCGUUACAGGUACUGAUUGAGCUAGAUGAGUAUUGGCAAAUGUGUUGUUCAAGCAAUUGUGGGGGAUUCUAGCAGAAAAGCUGAAAGCACAG
Numida meleagris (helmeted guineafowl) is the source of this 2322-nucleotide long non-coding RNA. RefSeq lists it as uncharacterized. The transcript is spliced from 3 exons. The record is from RefSeq and is a predicted model, not a curated record. Lineage: Eukaryota; Metazoa; Chordata; Aves; Galliformes; Numididae.